Anas platyrhynchos (mallard) is the source of this 893-nucleotide long non-coding RNA. RefSeq lists it as uncharacterized. NCBI's taxonomy places the organism in Eukaryota, Metazoa, Chordata, Aves, Anseriformes, Anatidae. The record is from RefSeq and is a predicted model, not a curated record.
GCAGGAUGAGCAGCAGCUAUGUUGUUUUUGUUUAUUUGGCUUAGCUCAACAGUGUGCAAAGCCCAGUACAGAGAACUAGGCUGUUUGUAGAAGCAGUAAUUCUCAUGCUUUUGCUUCAGCUUUUAAUAUUGGAAGGACAACAUGACCAAAAUGGCCGAGGUUUGAAAGGACCUCUGAAGAUCAUCCAGAAGAUCAUCCAGACCCAGCCGAGCAGGAUCACUUCAAGCCUUUCAUGCAGGAUGGCAUGCAGGUGCACUGAGAAGACUGAGAAAUCUCAGAAGGUUAAAAAAAAGAAGAAAAAAAAAAAAAGGAUUUUUUUGCGGCAUACUGCUCUUUGAAAAAGCUCAACACAGACUGUUUUCUCAAGUGUACUUAAAAGGAAGGCAGAGACCUUGAGGUGGAAGGCUCUAUUCUGGGGAAUCCUUGUUCAUCUUAAUGUGAUUUUUCUUCUGUUUGUCUUCUUCCUCUUCUCAUCAGUGAAAGAAAAACAAAACAUUUGAUUGACAAUCAGCAAACAGACAAAGGGACUGUUAAUGUACAGCCUUAUAUUUUCAAAUGCUUAUUUGCCUUCUGAGAAACAUUCAUGACAGCUAUGAAGCAAAAUUCCUUCUCAGUGUUCACUUUUCAUCCCCUUUCUGACGUGUCUGAUGUGUGAAGAAUAAAGAAAGAAGGGGAGUCUUGUGCAAAUUUCUCUUGGAUGAUGAAUUCUGAUGAAAUAGUUCUUAGGUCCAGCCUUGGAGCUUUUACAAAAUGUUUUCUUCAAAUACUAAGCCCCUGGCUUGUUCUUGCACACUUGUGGGCUGGAAUCCUGGACUAUCUAGGGAUAUACCCUGGUCUGUACCCUUGUUUGUUGAGCUAUAUUUUUAUUUAUUUUUUUCCCACAAGCUUUGAAA